GAUGAACGCUGGCGGCGUGCCUAAUACAUGCAAGUCGAGCGAACGGACGAGGAGCUUGCUCCUCUGACGUUAGCGGCGGACGGGUGAGUAACACGUGGAUAACCUACCUAUAAGACUGGGAUAACUUCGGGAAACCGGAGCUAAUACCGGAUAAUAUAUUGAACCGCAUGGUUCAAUAGUGAAAGACGGUUUUGCUGUCACUUAUAGAUGGAUCCGCGCCGCAUUAGCUAGUUGGUAAGGUAACGGCUUACCAAGGCAACGAUGCGUAGCCGACCUGAGAGGGUAAUCGGCCACACUGGAACUGAGACACGGUCCAGACUCCUACGGGAGGCAGCAGUAGGGAAUCUUCCGCAAUGGGCGAAAGCUUGACGGAGCAACGCCGCGUGAGUGAUGAAGGUCUUCGGAUCGUAAAACUCUGUUAUUAGGGAAGAACAAAUGUGUAAGUAACUAUGCACGUCUUGACGGUACCUAAUCAGAAAGCCACGGCUAACUACGUG
Molecule: ribosomal RNA, 497 nt
Filed under: uncultured bacterium
Lineage: Bacteria
Description: partial 16S ribosomal RNA
Rfam family: Bacterial small subunit ribosomal RNA
Source: RNAcentral